This 467-nucleotide ribosomal RNA is filed under the name uncultured bacterium. Its description in RNAcentral is "partial 16S ribosomal RNA". It matches the Rfam family "Bacterial small subunit ribosomal RNA", at positions 28 to 506 of the family's 1533-position model. The record is from RNAcentral.
GACGAACGCUUGCGGCGUGCUUAACACAUUCAAGUCGAACGGAAAGGCCCUUCUUUUUUGGGGUGCUCGAGUGGCGAACGGGUGAGUAACACGUGAGUAACCUGCCCUUUACUUUUGGAUAACUUCAUGAAACUUGGGCUAAUACCGGAUAGGAGCUCCUGCUUCAUGGUGGGGGUUGGAAAGUUUCGGCGGUUGGGGAUGGACUCGCGGCUUAUCAGCUUGUUGGUGGGGUAGUGGCUUACCAAGGCUUUGACGGGUAGCCGGCCUGAGAGGGUGACCGGCCACAUUGGGACUGAGAUACGGCCCAGACUCCUACGGGAGGCAGCAGUGGGGAAUAUUGCACAAUGGGCGGAAGCCUGAUGCAGCAACGCCGCGUGCGGGAUGACGGCCUUCGGGUUGUAAACCGCUUUCGCCUGUGACGAAGCGUGAGUGACGGUAAUGGGUAAAGAAGCACCGGCUAACUACGU